RNAcentral lists this ribosomal RNA (460 nucleotides) under uncultured bacterium. RNAcentral's name for it is "partial 16S ribosomal RNA". It matches the Rfam family "Bacterial small subunit ribosomal RNA", at positions 338 to 795 of the family's 1533-position model. The record is from RNAcentral.
CCUACGGGUGGCAGCAGUGAGGAAUAUUGGUCAAUGGGCGUAAGUCUGAACCAGCCAAGUCGCGUGAGGGAUGACGGUUCUAUGGAUCGUAAACCUCUUUUAUAAGGGAAUAAAGUGCGGGACGUUUCCCUUUUUGUAUGUACCUUAUGAAUAAGGAUCGGCUACCUCCGUGCCAGCAGCCGCGGUAAUACGGAGGAUCCUAGCUUUAUCCGGAUUUAUUGGGUUUAAAGGGUGCGUAGGCGGCCUUUUAAGUCAGAGGUGAAAGCCUGUGGCUCAACCAGAGAAUUGCCGCUGAAACUGGGCGGCUUGAGUAUGUUUGAGGCAGGCGGAAUGCAUGGUGUAGCGGUGAAAUGCUUAGAUAUCACGCAGAACCCCGAUUGCGAAGGCAGCUUGCCAAGCCAUGACUGACGCUGAGGCACGAAAGCGUGGGGAGCAAACAGGAUUAGAUACCCUUGUAGUC